This 139-nucleotide transfer RNA is filed under the name Rhodococcoides fascians. RNAcentral's name for it is "tRNA-Leu". The record is from RNAcentral. Lineage: Bacteria; Bacillati; Actinomycetota; Actinomycetes; Mycobacteriales; Nocardiaceae.
GCCCCUGGACUGUGUUGGCCGUCAGUGAACGAAACACGUUGGUUUACAAGAAAACUGGGGUCCAUGUGCGUGCAUCUGAAUCCACUUCUAGGGACUUAAAAUUCGCACAGUGUCGGUUCGAGUCCGACUGGGGGCACCA